ACGGGAGGCAGCAGUGGGGAAUAUUGGACAAUGGGGGAAACCCUGAUCCAGCGGCGCCGCGUGAGUGAAGAAGUAUUUCGGUAUGUAAAGCUCUAUCAGCAGGGAAGAUAAUGACGGUACCUGACUAAGAAGCCCCGGCUAACUACGUGCCAGCAGCCGCGGUAAUACGUAGGGGGCAAGCGUUAUCCGGAUUUACUGGGUGUAAAGGGAGCGUAGACGGAAGGCCAAGUCUGAUGUGAAAACCCAGGGCCCAACCCUGGGACUGCAUUGGAAACUGGUCAUCUAGAGUGCAGGAGGGGUAAGCGGAAUUCCUAGUGUAGCGGUGAAAUGCGUAGAUAUUAGGAGGAACACCAGUGGCGAAGGCGGCUUACUGGACUGUAACUGACGUUGAGGCUCGAAAGCGUGGGGAGCAAACAGGAUUAGAUACCCUGGUA
This 434-nucleotide ribosomal RNA is filed under the name uncultured Lachnospiraceae bacterium. Its description in RNAcentral is "partial 16S ribosomal RNA". It matches the Rfam family "Bacterial small subunit ribosomal RNA", at positions 341 to 792 of the family's 1533-position model. The record is from RNAcentral. Lineage: Bacteria; Bacillati; Bacillota; Clostridia; Lachnospirales; Lachnospiraceae.